UUUCAUAACAAGCUUAAUCUAUUCAGAGCGGGGGAAUCAUGCAUUUGGUAAGGCUCUUACCUUGGGGUGAAUCCGUAAAUGGAAGGGAACUCUCAAUCCCGAAUCCGACAGUUAACCUCGUCUGCUUUAUUGGGAGAAAGA
Molecule: small RNA, 141 nt
Filed under: Metabacillus indicus
Lineage: Bacteria; Bacillati; Bacillota; Bacilli; Caryophanales; Bacillaceae
Description: Bacillus cibi c-di-AMP sequence
Rfam family: c-di-AMP riboswitch aptamer (ydaO/yuaA leader)
About the family: This family represents a conserved RNA structure found upstream of the ydaO and yuaA genes in Bacillus subtilis and related genes in other bacteria. The ydaO/yuaA element is thought to act as a genetic "off" switch for the ydaO and yuaA genes in its native state.
Source: Rfam by way of RNAcentral